RNAcentral lists this long non-coding RNA (919 nucleotides) under Spirodela polyrhiza (greater duckweed). RNAcentral describes it as "long non-coding RNA (SPOL_LNC001598)". The record is from RNAcentral. Lineage: Eukaryota; Viridiplantae; Streptophyta; Magnoliopsida; Alismatales; Araceae.
CUUCUACUCCCACCACGCCAACGUCGACCGGACGUGGUACCUGUGGAAGAAGCUGAGCAAGAGGAACGUCGACUUCACCGACCGGGACUGGCUGGACACCUCCUUCCUCUUCUACGACGAGGACGCCCGCCUGGUGAGGGUGAAGGUGAGGGACUGCCUCGAGCCCGAGAUGCUGGGCUUCACCUACCAGGACGUGCCCCUCCCGUGGCUCAAGAACCGCGCCACGCCCCGCGCCACCCCCACAGCGGAGAAGUCUUCCACCUCCUCCGCGCCCCCGUCAAAGAAGAAGAAGAGAGCGAAGCUGCUGAAAUCCGCCGGGGGACCGGCGACUUUCCCCCUGACGCUGUCGUCGGUGGCGGUCAUCACGGUGAAGCGGCCCAAGGUCAACCGGAGCGCCGCCGAGAAGGACAAGGAGGAGGAGGUCCUCGUGGUGGAUGGGAUCGAACUGGACCCCAAAAACUGCGUGAAGUUCGACGUCUACGUCGACGACACUGACGCCGCCGGAGUCAAGCCCGACGACAGCGAGUUCGCCGGCAGCUUCGUCAACGUACCGCAAGGGAAGGGCCACGGCAAGAAGAAGAAGAGGGAAAAGUUGAAGACCAGCCUGCGACUGGGGAUCACCGACCUGCUGGAGGACCUCAAGCUCGAGGACGAGGACGAGCUCCUCGUCACCCUCGUCCCCCGUAGGGGCAAGGGCAAGGUCAACAUCGAAGGGGUCCGCCUAGAGCUCACCUCCUGAGCCCAUCUCCCGGUGCCCUCUCUCGCAUGCUCAUUUCCUUUCGAUCAAUAAAGACUCCUCUGUGAUGAUACAGUUGAUCGCUGCUGCAUGCUUCUGCGUCGACGACUGUCGAAUUAGUUGAAUAAAUCUUCGAUCUGCUAUUACCAUGCUUGCAUUCAUGGAUGCCCGGUAUAUCCUCGA